GCCUUGUCCGGAGGGUUUCCAGCAUACAGAGAAUGAAAUUUUAGCAGCAGUAAAUUACCCAGCAUCAGAAUGUCUGGUUGUAAUGAACAAAAGUUAAUGCAUGAUAAUUCCAGAGCUUCACAGGCUGAUCCACGCGUCCCUGGGGCUGAGCAAAAGUCAACACUACAAUGUCUCUCAAAGACCGGGCAAGUGAUUCAUUGAACCCAUAAACGUACUUUCUAUGUGCCACGUGUGAAACUGUGAACGAGAAGGAUCAAC
This 258-nucleotide long non-coding RNA is filed under the name Equus caballus (horse). RNAcentral's name for it is "lncRNA (ENSECAG00000044552.1)". Lineage: Eukaryota; Metazoa; Chordata; Mammalia; Perissodactyla; Equidae. The record is from RNAcentral.